UAAGACAGAGGGUGCAAACGUUGCUCGGAAUUACUGGGCGUAAAGCGCGUGUAGGCGGCCUGUUAAGUCGGGUGUGAAAUCCCUCGGCUCAACCGAGGAAGUGCAUUCGAUACUGACAGGCUCGAGUACCGGAGAGGGUCGUGGAAUUCCUGGUGUAGAGGUGAAAUUCGUAGAUAUCAGGAGGAACACCGGCGGCGAAGGCGGCGACCUGGACGAGUACUGACGCUCAGACGCGAAAGCGUGGGUAGCAAACAGGAUUAGAUACCCUGGUAGUCCACGCUGUAAACGAUGGGUACUAGGUGUCGCGGGUAUUGACCCCUGCGGUGCCGAAGCUAACGCAUUAAGUACCCCGCCUGGGGACUACGGCCGCAAGGCUA
Molecule: ribosomal RNA, 377 nt
Filed under: uncultured bacterium
Lineage: Bacteria
Description: bacterial SSU rRNA
Rfam family: Bacterial small subunit ribosomal RNA
Source: RNAcentral